Molecule: ribosomal RNA, 468 nt
Filed under: uncultured bacterium
Lineage: Bacteria
Description: partial 16S ribosomal RNA
Rfam family: Bacterial small subunit ribosomal RNA
Source: RNAcentral
GACGAACGCUGGCGGCGUGCUUAACACAUGCAAGUCGAACGGAAAGGCCCUGCUUUUGUGGGGUGCUCGAGUGGCGAACGGGUGAGUAACACGUGAGUAACCUGCCCUUGACUUUGGGAUAACUUCAGGAAACUGGGGCUAAUACCGGAUAGGAGCUCCUGCUGCAUGGUGGGGGUUGGAAAGUUUCGGCGGUUGGGGAUGGACUCGCGGCUUAUCAGCUUGUUGGUGGGGUAGUGGCUUACCAAGGCUUUGACGGAUAGCCGGCCUGAGAGGGUGACCGGCCACAUUGGGACUGAGAGACGGACCAGACUCCUACGGGAGGCAGCAGUGGGGAAUAUUGCACAAUGGGCGGAAGCCUGAUGCAGCAACGCCGCGUGCGGGAUGACGGCCUUCGGGUUGUAAACCGCUUUGGCCGGUGACGAGGCGUGAGUGACGGUAAUGGGUAAAGAAGCACCGGCUAACUACGUG